Long non-coding RNA from Ipomoea triloba (trilobed morning glory), 331 nucleotides. RefSeq lists it as uncharacterized. The transcript has 5 exons. Lineage: Eukaryota; Viridiplantae; Streptophyta; Magnoliopsida; Solanales; Convolvulaceae. The record is from RefSeq and is a predicted model, not a curated record.
GCUUUUUAAGCUUUUAACAAGACACUUCUCCAUCCGCGCCUGCUGCCCUGCUCCGCCUUCCGCAGCUCGACGAAGGUAUAGUGGAGUCGAAGGUCUUCACACCAAAGUGACUGAGUUUGAGGACACAAAGUGUCUUGUUUGUGGUCCUGGUGUUCUUAUUUCUUAUUGAGCUAGAACCUUCAGUUACUCUGAAAAAGCCCAUGCCAUAGUGUAGCUGAGUAGCAGACUAUCAAACGCCAUCCCAGGGAAGAGACUAUGAAAGUCAAGAUUAUACGUGGCAUGCUGUUGCUUCAUGGACAUGGGAUGCGCAGGAUGAGACUUGUGGAAUUUG